GUGUAAUAUACAUGUUACCGUUUACUGUUUCAUGCAGGAGGUCAUGGUGUAUAAUAUAAAUGUUACCAUUUACUGUUUCAUGCAGGAGGUCAUGGUGUGAAUAUCUGCCCCCUGCCAAAGUUUCCCACCUCUGGGGUAGAACUCCUCUUCCUGAAGCUUCCUUCUGGGAAAUGGAACCAAUCCUGUAUCACCCCUCGAUGUCUCCAGACCCAGGGACCUGAAUUCGAUUGGUAUUCCAGGACUAAGAAGAAGGAAAGAACAGCUGCUUAUUACAUGUCUGCAGAAUCCUGCUUGAGGGUUCUAUAUAGCUGGGGGAUGAGGGCCUCCCAAACUUACGAUCGCCUGAUACACAUCGCUCAGGCUCCACGAAAAAUUCAAGGACGAACAAGUCGCCUUCACAGAAUGCGCCACCAGGAACAUGUGCGACAUGGGAGUGAGAGCGCUGUUUGCUGCUGGCCGUAAUGUGGACAUCAAGGUCAACAUAUGCAGCCGUGCGCUUGGAAUCUCUAAAGGAAAGCACACUAUAGAAACAAGAGGAUGCAUGAGGAGGAAAGAAAACCUCAACAAUAAAUAUGGACUAAAUGAAUAAAAUGGCUAAAGA
Molecule: long non-coding RNA, 601 nt
Filed under: Pogona vitticeps (central bearded dragon)
Lineage: Eukaryota; Metazoa; Chordata; Lepidosauria; Squamata; Agamidae
Description: lncRNA (ENSPVIG00000012432.1)
Source: RNAcentral